UAGGGAAUCUUCGGCAAUGGACGAAAGUCUGACCGAGCAACGCCGCGUGAGUGAAGAAGGUUUUCGGAUCGUAAAACUCUGUUGUUAGAGAAGAACAAGGACGUUAGUAACUGAACGUCCCCUGACGGUAUCUAACCAGAAAGCUACGGCUAACUACGUGCCAGCAGCCGCGGUAAUACGUAGGUGGCAAGCGUUGUCCGGAUGUAUUGGGCGUAAAGCGAGCGCAGGCGGUUUCUUAAGUCUGAUGUGAAAGCCCCCGGCUCAACCGGGGAGGGUCAUUGGAAACUGGGAGACUUGAGUGCAGAAGAGGAGAGUGGAAUUCCAUGUGUAGCGGUGAAAUGCGUAGAUAUAUGGAGGAACACCAGUGGCGAAGGCGGCUCUCUGGUCUGUAACUGACUCUGAGGCUCGAAAGCGUGGGGAGCAAACAGG
Molecule: ribosomal RNA, 429 nt
Filed under: Gemmatimonadota bacterium
Lineage: Bacteria; Pseudomonadati; Gemmatimonadota
Description: Gemmatimonadetes bacterium partial 16S ribosomal RNA
Rfam family: Bacterial small subunit ribosomal RNA
Source: RNAcentral